RNAcentral lists this ribosomal RNA (589 nucleotides) under Morchella ulmaria. RNAcentral's name for it is "partial 28S ribosomal RNA". It matches the Rfam family "Eukaryotic large subunit ribosomal RNA", at positions 52 to 651 of the family's 3401-position model. The record is from RNAcentral. Lineage: Eukaryota; Fungi; Ascomycota; Pezizomycetes; Pezizales; Morchellaceae.
GGAGGAAAAGAAACCAACAGGGAUUGCCUCAGUAACGGCGAGUGAAGCGGCAAAAGCUCAAAUUUUAAAGCUGGCACCUCCGGUGUCCGCGUUGUAAUUUUGUGAGGCAUCUCCGGGUAGGGCGCCGGCCUAAGUUCCUUGGAACAGGACGUCAUAGAGGGUGAGAAUCCCGUGCUUGGCUGGCUGUCCCCGUCCAUGUGAGGUGUCUUCGACGAGUCGAGUUGUUUGGGAAUGCAGCUCAAAAUGGGUGGUAAAUUUCAUCUAAAGCUAAAUAUUGGUGGGAGACCGAUAGCGCACAAGUAGAGUGAUCGAAAGAUGAAAAGCACUUUGAAAAUAGAGUUAAAAAGUACGUGAAAUUGUUGAAAGGGAAGCGCUUGAGACCAGACUUCGGUGGGGAGUGAUCAGCUGUCCUUCUGGGCGGUGCACUUGCUCCCCUCCGGGCCAGCAUCGGUUGGGACGGCGGGAUAAAGGUCCUGGGAAUGUGGCUCCUUUCGGGGAGUGUUAUAGCCCGGGAUGGAAUGCCGCCAGCUCCGACCGAGGACCGCGCCUUCGGGCUAGGAUGCUUGGCAUAAUGGUCUUCAGCGACCCG